GCGGCCAUGGUGUAGCCUGGCAGCACAGGGGACUGUGGAUCCCCUAGGCCGAGUUCAAAUCUCGGUGGCCGCC
Molecule: transfer RNA, 73 nt
Filed under: Candidatus Woesearchaeota archaeon
Lineage: Archaea; Nanobdellati; Candidatus Woesearchaeota
Description: tRNA-His
Rfam family: tRNA
About the family: Transfer RNA (tRNA) molecules are approximately 80 nucleotides in length. Their secondary structure includes four short double-helical elements and three loops (D, anti-codon, and T loops).
Source: RNAcentral